GACUUGAUAGCUCAGUUGGUAGAGCAUCUCCCUUUUAAGGAGAGGGUCCUGGGUUCGAGCCCCAGUCAAGUCACUA
RNAcentral lists this transfer RNA (76 nucleotides) under Zhouia amylolytica. Its description in RNAcentral is "tRNA_Lys_TTT". It matches the Rfam family "tRNA". From Rfam's summary of the family: Transfer RNA (tRNA) molecules are approximately 80 nucleotides in length. Their secondary structure includes four short double-helical elements and three loops (D, anti-codon, and T loops). Lineage: Bacteria; Pseudomonadati; Bacteroidota; Flavobacteriia; Flavobacteriales; Flavobacteriaceae. The record is from RNAcentral. RNAcentral also lists the same sequence under 1 other name.